GUAGACAUGAGGGCCCUAGUGCAGCUCCUCAGCUUCCUGCUCCUCUGGCUCCCAGGUGCCAGGGGUGACAUCCAGAUGACCCAGUCUCCAUCUGUGUCGGCUUCUCUGGGAGAUAAAGUCACCAUCACUUGCAAGGCCAGUCAGGGCAUUAGCAAUUAUUUGGACUGGUAUCAGCAGAAACCAGGGGAAGCUCCUCAACUACUUGUCUAUUAUGCAACAAACUUGCAUUCUGGGGUCCCUUCCCGAUUCAGUGGCAGUGGAUUUGGCACAGAUUUCACUCUCACUAUCAGCAGCCUAAAGUCUGAAGAUGCAGCAACUUAUUACUGUUACCAGUGGGAUAGUUCUCCUCACACAGUGAUACAGGCCAAAACAUAA
Non-coding RNA from Suncus etruscus (white-toothed pygmy shrew), 375 nucleotides. NCBI's taxonomy places the organism in Eukaryota, Metazoa, Chordata, Mammalia, Eulipotyphla, Soricidae. The record is from the annotation of a RefSeq genome assembly.